GAACCUUUUGUGGAAGAACUAAAUAAUCCAAACAGUGUACAAUACAGAACACUUGAAAGACAAGUUGUAACAGCAUGUGACAUCAUCUACAGGGCAAGAUUUGGUUUGCGUUUCAUCCGCACCAUUCUCCUAAGAUUUAGUCGUGUUGUAGCAAGGACACGAACUGAGAAGACUAGAGCAGAGGUGGGACUGGAGUUCAACCAAACAGAGGAAAUCCCACAGGAUGAUGCUGUUGUAGACA
Molecule: non-coding RNA, 241 nt
Organism: Epinephelus lanceolatus (giant grouper)
Lineage: Eukaryota; Metazoa; Chordata; Actinopteri; Perciformes; Serranidae
Source: RefSeq, a predicted model, not a curated record